Molecule: ribosomal RNA, 468 nt
Filed under: uncultured bacterium
Lineage: Bacteria
Description: partial 16S ribosomal RNA
Rfam family: Bacterial small subunit ribosomal RNA
Source: RNAcentral
GACGAACGCUGGCGGCGUGCUUAACACAUGCAAGUCGAACGGAAAGGCCCUGCUUUUGUGCGUUGCUCGAGUGGCGAACGCGUGGGUAACACGUGAGUAACCUCUCCUUAACUUUCGGGUAACUUCUGGAAACUGGGGCUCUUACACGGUAUGAGAUCUUGCUCCAUGGGGGGGAUUGGAGAGUUUCGGCCGUGGGGGAUGGACUCGCGGGUUAUGAGCUUGUUGGGGGGGUAGUGGCUUACCAAGCCUUUGACGGAUAGCCUGCCUGGGAGGCGGACCGGCGACCAUGGGACUGCGAUACGGCCCAGACUCCUACCGGCGGCAGCAGGCGAGAACAUGGCAGAAUGGGCGGAAGUGUGAUGUAGCAAUGCCGCGUGCGUGAUGAUGGCUUUUGGGUGGUAAACCGAUGUCGACGGUGCCGAAGCGUGAGUGACGGUAAUGGGUAAAGAAGCACCGGCUAACUACGUG